Long non-coding RNA from Oncorhynchus tshawytscha (Chinook salmon), 509 nucleotides. The record is from Ensembl. Lineage: Eukaryota; Metazoa; Chordata; Actinopteri; Salmoniformes; Salmonidae.
AACAACAGAACGGUGUGGAGGUAACCCCAACAACAGAACGGUGUGGAGGUAACCCCAACAACAGAACGGUGUGGAGGUAACCCCAACAACAGAACGGUGUGGAGGUAACCCCAACAACAGAACGGUGUGGAGGUAACCCUAACAACAGAACGGUGAGUUAACAGAACGGUGUGGAGGUAAACCUAACAACAGAACGGUGUGGAGGUAACCCCAACAACAGAACGGUGUGGAGGUAACCCUAACAACAGAACGGUGUGGAGGUAACCCUAACAACAGAACGGUGAGUUAACAGAACGGUGUGGAGGUAACCCCAACAACAGAACGGUGAGUUAACAGAAUGGUGUGGAGGUAACCCCAACAACAGAACAGUGUGGAGGUAACCCUAACAACAGAACGGUGUGGAGGUAACCCUAACAACAGAACGGUGUGGAGGUAACCCCAACAACAGAACGGUGAGUUAACAGAACGGUGUGGAGGUAACCCCAACAACAGAAUGGUGUGGAGGUAAC